CGCGCAUCACCGUCGCGCAGCGUCGUGCACUCUUCCAUCCUUCAUUCUCGAGCUUUCUUGUUCUUUCGCACCGCGUUUCACAGGUCGUUAGAUACCACGGAUCUCUUGAGAAAAUUACAGAAACCCACGUGGCAAGAAAAGUGGAUAUUUGGAAAAGGUUGAGCAGCUGACAGUCAACUGUGUAUUCGAAAUAUACAACAUACGUUUUAGAAAAUGACACGUAAAAGAAAAAGUAACGACUGCUAUUCAGAUAGACAUAAACGUCGACUCGUUGAACAACAAACUGAAUUAAGUAUUAUUAGAAUGAAGCACGUUAAGCACGUAUAGUACGAAAUGUAAAGUCGUGAACCAAACGCUUUUUUUAAAAUAUACAUGAGAAUAAGUAUAGU
RNAcentral lists this long non-coding RNA (389 nucleotides) under Neodiprion pinetum (white pine sawfly). RNAcentral's name for it is "uncharacterized LOC124223222". Lineage: Eukaryota; Metazoa; Arthropoda; Insecta; Hymenoptera; Diprionidae. The record is from RNAcentral.